RNAcentral lists this long non-coding RNA (1139 nucleotides) under Cervus hanglu yarkandensis (Yarkand deer). Its description in RNAcentral is "lncRNA (ENSCHYG00000001981.1)". The record is from RNAcentral. Lineage: Eukaryota; Metazoa; Chordata; Mammalia; Artiodactyla; Cervidae.
GUCUUUUGACCCCCAUCCCUGCCCCCAUUCCCGCUCAGGUAGCAUCAGCAUCCCGAGUAGCGCCAGAAGCACACCUGGCAUUAAGUGUGCAUUUGUUUUUAAAGAAAGAACCCCUGGGGUUGUGUGUGUGUGCGUUUUCAUUCUCUGUGUUUUUGUAGGACCGCAGUGUGUCUGUAACCGUGUGUGGCGGCUUCCCUGGUGGCUCAGCAGUGAAGAAUCCGCCAGUCAAUGCAGAAGAUGGGGGUUCUAUCCCUGGGUGGGAAAGAUCCCCUGAAGAAGGAAAUGGCAACCUGCUUCAGUUUUCUUGCCUGGGAGAUCCCAUGGACAGAGCAGCCUGGCAGGCUACAGUCCUUGAGGACCCAAAGAGUCAGACACGACUUAGCGACUAAACAACCACCAUUUCUUCAGUGGGACCUGUGAAAACAGCACUGUACCUGCUGACCUUAGGUGAAACUGCAGUAAACUCUGACCUUCCCGUGUGAGUUUUCCAUGACCCCAGGAUGAAGUGGAACAUCUCCUUCCCCAGAUGUCUGGGCACCUUGAAAAUGAAGUUUGAACACAUAUUUUGGUCUCCUAAUAAAACUUCUCUUCCCAGACUCUUUGUAAAUAAGCAAUAAAAAGUUUGAGUGCUUUUGUGACUGUGUGUGGAAUUAUAUAAUAUAAUGCACAUUUUGAGGCCUGUGAGAUUAUGGCUUUAGUUAUGAGAUUGUGUUUUUAUCUGUGAGUAUGACUUAAAAUGUAUAUGAUGCCUUCAAAGACAUGCUUUUGUUAUGUGGGCAUUUUAUGGAUAUUGUGAAUGUGGAUUACUUAUAACAGGCUUAUUAAGUGUGAACAGACUUAUUAAGUGAGAAACUACAUGAGAUGGAAAUGUGUGAUUUUGAUUAUAUGAAUAUAGAACCCUGUGAUAUUAUGACUGUAUAUCUUGGUGAGUGACGAUAGGCUGCCUUACUCUUUCAACAAAGAAUGAGAGGAAUAUUGCACCUUUAUGGAACAAUAACUUUAAGAUUUGGGUUAAAGAAUUUGCUAUUUAUUUGGCAAAUCAUUUGGAUAUUUUAUGCUCUAUUACUUAGCCUUAAAAAUAAGAAAUCCGACACAUGCUAUAAUGUGGAUGUAUCUAGAGAACAUUGUACUAAGUGAAA